GGGGAGCGGACGGUCUUCGGCUUCGCCUUGGCCUUAGCCGCCGGCGACUUCUUCGCCUUGGCGACCAGCUUCUUCUUCUCCGGCGCCUUGCGCUUCGUGCCGGCGGCGGCGGCGGUCUUCUUGGGCUUCGCGUCCGCCUUCUUCUUGGGUUUGGCGCCGUCCUUGGCAGGCUUCACCGCGGCCUUGGCGGCUGCAGGCUUGGCGGGCUUCACCGCGGCCUUGGCGGCCGAAGGCUUGGCGGGCUUGGCCUUGGUGGAGUCCUUCUUGGCAGCGUCGGAGAGCUUGUAGGAUGCCUUGACCUUGACGAGCUUGCCCUUGGAGGCGGACGCGCGGAGCUGGACGGAG
RNAcentral lists this long non-coding RNA (345 nucleotides) under Hordeum vulgare. RNAcentral's name for it is "long non-coding RNA (HVUL_LNC005350)". The record is from RNAcentral. Lineage: Eukaryota; Viridiplantae; Streptophyta; Magnoliopsida; Poales; Poaceae.